GUGCGUGAGAAGGAAGUCCAUAUCCUUUCAAGAGAAAAAGAAAGAAAAGAAAAAAAAGUAGGGUGCAAGGUUUUCGGUGAGUUUCCUAGAGUUUUAGCCUGAGGUUCGGGAAGUGAGAAAGUGAGCUACGAGUGUCGUGAGCCCACAAAAUCUUAGAAAAAUCUUUAACAUCCUCUCAAGCAUGUCUAUUGAUGAUCUGGAGCAUCCAAAGAAUCGACAGACAUCGAU
RNAcentral lists this long non-coding RNA (228 nucleotides) under Elaeis guineensis (African oil palm). Its description in RNAcentral is "long non-coding RNA (EGUI_LNC052627)". Lineage: Eukaryota; Viridiplantae; Streptophyta; Magnoliopsida; Arecales; Arecaceae. The record is from RNAcentral.